RNAcentral lists this ribosomal RNA (253 nucleotides) under uncultured bacterium. RNAcentral's name for it is "partial 16S ribosomal RNA". It matches the Rfam family "Archaeal small subunit ribosomal RNA", at positions 474 to 727 of the family's 1478-position model. The record is from RNAcentral.
UACCAGCACCCCGAGUGGUCGGGACGUUUAUCGGGCCUAAAGCAUCCGUAGCCGGUUCUACAAGUCUUCCGUUAAAUCCACCUGCUUAACAGAUGGGCUGCGGAAGAUACUAUAGAGCUAGGAGGCGGGAGAGGCAAGCGGUACUCGAUGGGUAGGGGUAAAAUCCGUUGAUCCAUUGAAGACCACCAGUGGCGAAGGCGGCUUGCCAGAACGCGCUCGACGGUGAGGGAUGAAAGCUGGGGGAGCAAACCGG